This 64-nucleotide transfer RNA is filed under the name Nomada fabriciana. Its description in RNAcentral is "tRNA-Phe". The record is from RNAcentral. Lineage: Eukaryota; Metazoa; Arthropoda; Insecta; Hymenoptera; Apidae.
AUUUAAAUAGCUUAUUUAGAGUUUAAUAUUGAAAAUAUUAAGGAAAAUUUAUAUUUUUUAAAUA